UGUUUGCACCGGCAAUUACUUUCGAGUUACUCGGCCGCCAUGUUUGUGCUAUGUAAAAUAAUUGAUUCAUAAAAAGAAACGGCUUGGUUGACCACAGCUUUACUCGUCAACACUCGCCCCCGCCGAUUUCCAGACUGCAUCUCAAGGGAGCUGGUGGUGUGUAUCUGCUUCAAGAGAAGCUUGGAGUUUGGAAUACAGAACGGGGCAGGAACAAGUUCUUAAGCUCACCGUCUCCUCCCCCGCCGGGCUGAGACUUACAGCAUGAGAGUAGGCGCCAUAGGCCCCAAACUGGAUGGUCAUGGGACUGAAGAUGCCGAGCUGGCCCGCCAUCUGGUGCAUCCUACGCAGGGUCCUCUCCUUAUC
Lates calcarifer (barramundi perch) is the source of this 363-nucleotide long non-coding RNA. RefSeq lists it as uncharacterized. The record is from RefSeq and is a predicted model, not a curated record. NCBI's taxonomy places the organism in Eukaryota, Metazoa, Chordata, Actinopteri, Centropomidae. The transcript has 3 exons.